GUAGGUGGCAAGCGUUGUCCGGAAUUAUUGGGCGUAAAGCGCGCGCAGGCGGUUCUUUAAGUCUGAUGUGAAAGCCCACGGGCUCAACCGUGGAGGGUCAUUGGAAACUGGAGAACUUGAGUACAGAAGAGGAAGCGGAAUUCCACGUGUAGCGGUGAAAUGCGUAGAGAUGUGGAGGAACACCAGUGGCGAAGGCGGCUUUCUGGUCUGUAACUGACGCUGAGGCGCGAAAGCGUGGGGAGCAAACAGGAUUAGAUACCCUGGUAGUCCACGCCGUAAACGAUGAGUGCUAAGUGUUAGGGGGUUUCCGCCCCUUAGUGCUGCAGCUAACGCAUUAAGCACUCCGCCUGGGGAGUACGGCCGCAAGGCUG
RNAcentral lists this ribosomal RNA (371 nucleotides) under uncultured organism. RNAcentral's name for it is "partial 16S ribosomal RNA". It matches the Rfam family "Bacterial small subunit ribosomal RNA", at positions 527 to 896 of the family's 1533-position model. The record is from RNAcentral.